RNAcentral lists this long non-coding RNA (383 nucleotides) under Daucus carota (carrot). Its description in RNAcentral is "long non-coding RNA (DCAR_LNC007412)". Lineage: Eukaryota; Viridiplantae; Streptophyta; Magnoliopsida; Apiales; Apiaceae. The record is from RNAcentral.
CGCAAAGGUUCGAUUCGACAUUGUUUCAACAUGUGGGUUCUCUCUCAGGUAUCGAAUAAUAUCACUAGACAAUCUCUCCAUCAAAGGUCUUGUGCAAAUGUGUGUGCCAUCUUGGAAUUUAAAGUACAAAUCGGUCGAUACAAGCUUCAAAAAGACAACCUUACUCAACUACGUUCAAAUUAUCUAAAAGACACUACAUAUAUAUACUUUUGGAAAACAUGCUAAACACCAACUACUCCUAAAGUUCGAGUGAGGGAAAGACAACUUAGCUAAAAGUAUCUCUAUUUUUGGAUUUUUCUAAUUUUUCAAUUUUUAGGGAUUUUCAUUUUUUUUUAAGAAUUACACUAAAGCCCUCCCCAUACCUAAAUCAUGCAUUGUCCUCA